UACGAAGGGGGCUAGCGUUGUUCGGAUUUACUGGGCGUAAAGCGCACGUAGGCGGAUAUUUAAGUCAGGGGUGAAAUCCCGGGGCUCAACCCCGGAACUGCCUUUGAUACUGGGUAUCUUUGAGUCCGGAAGAGGUGAGUGGAAUUCCGAGUGUAGAGGUGAAAUUCGUAGAUAUUCGGAGGAACACCAGUGGCGAAGGCGGCUCACUGGUCCGGUACUGACGCUGAGGCGCGACAGCGUGGGGAGCAAACAGG
RNAcentral lists this ribosomal RNA (254 nucleotides) under uncultured bacterium. RNAcentral describes it as "partial 16S ribosomal RNA". It matches the Rfam family "Bacterial small subunit ribosomal RNA", at positions 524 to 776 of the family's 1533-position model. The record is from RNAcentral.